Mobula hypostoma (lesser devil ray) is the source of this 604-nucleotide long non-coding RNA. RefSeq lists it as uncharacterized. The record is from RefSeq and is a predicted model, not a curated record. Lineage: Eukaryota; Metazoa; Chordata; Chondrichthyes; Myliobatiformes; Myliobatidae. The transcript has 4 exons.
UUGUUCGGGCCCAAGCAACGGAGCUUGGCACCGACUAUCCCGGGAUGGUUUAUUCCCAGCCGUCACGUCGGAGAAUGCUGCUGUAACUUGUUCAAACGGUCCGGCGGGUCUCGUGGAAAUGCUUUCGUUCUCUUUCGACUUUCUAUUCCACCCAGUUGUUGUAUUUUCUUCGCUAAUGAUUAGACAACAUCUGCGUCACUAACCGAAGCUGCUACCGGAAGUUACAUCACCUCGAUUGACCAUGCUAGCCAUUGACAGACAGGCUGCCCAAUUACGUCACCGGCAAGCGAGCUGCCGCCGCCAGUUCCAGUACUCCAGACUCCAACUGAGUGAUCCAUUUCUGCUGGUUUGGCAACCCAGUUACGGGGUACGUAACAAAGGACAAGCCAAGACAGAACAUACAAGCCUUCAACUGGUGUACGAGCUUGAGACAUAAUGCUUUGGAAAGGAUAUUAAAGCCCCAAAGGAUAGUGAAGAGGAUAUAUCAAGAAGAUGCCAGUGAAUGAGAACAGAAGAUGUGGUGAUAUCACAUGCAAUGAUGUGCCAGUACAUGAUUGGACAGCACUGAGCAUGCGCGGGGUUUUGCCAGAAUGUUUCAGCAUCU